RNAcentral lists this ribosomal RNA (1383 nucleotides) under Staphylococcus aureus. RNAcentral describes it as "partial 23S ribosomal RNA". It matches the Rfam family "Bacterial large subunit ribosomal RNA", at positions 1333 to 2711 of the family's 2925-position model. Lineage: Bacteria; Bacillati; Bacillota; Bacilli; Caryophanales; Staphylococcaceae. The record is from RNAcentral.
UCCACCGAUUGACUAAGGUUUCCAGAGGAAGGCUCGUCCGCUCUGGGUUAGUCGGGUCCUAAGCUGAGGCCGACAGGCGUAGGCGAUGGAUAACAGGUUGAUAUUCCUGUACCACCUAUAAUCGUUUUAAUCGAUGGGGGGACGCAGUAGGAUAGGCGAAGCGUGCGAUUGGAUUGCACGUCUAAGCAGUAAGGCUGAGUAUUAGGCAAAUCCGGUACUCGUUAAGGCUGAGCUGUGAUGGGGAGAAGACAUUGUGUCUUCGAGUCGUUGAUUUCACACUGCCGAGAAAAGCCUCUAGAUAGAAAAUAGGUGCCCGUACCGCAAACCGACACAGGUAGUCAAGAUGAGAAUUCUAAGGUGAGCGAGCGAACUCUCGUUAAGGAACUCGGCAAAAUGACCCCGUAACUUCGGGAGAAGGGGUGCUCUUUAGGGUUAACGCCCAGAAGAGCCGCAGUGAAUAGGCCCAAGCGACUGUUUAUCAAAAACACAGGUCUCUGCUAAACCGUAAGGUGAUGUAUAGGGGCUGACGCCUGCCCGGUGCUGGAAGGUUAAGAGGAGUGGUUAGCUUCUGCGAAGCUACGAAUCGAAGCCCCAGUAAACGGCGGCCGUAACUAUAACGGUCCUAAGGUAGCGAAAUUCCUUGUCGGGUAAGUUCCGACCCGCACGAAAGGCGUAACGAUUUGGGCACUGUCUCAACGAGAGACUCGGUGAAAUCAUAGUACCUGUGAAGAUGCAGGUUACCCGCGACAGGACGGAAAGACCCCGUGGAGCUUUACUGUAGCCUGAUAUUGAAAUUCGGCACAGCUUGUACAGGAUAGGUAGGAGCCUUUGAAACGUGAGCGCUAGCUUACGUGGAGGCGCUGGUGGGAUACUACCCUAGCUGUGUUGGCUUUCUAACCCGCACCACUUAUCGUGGUGGGAGACAGUGUCAGGCGGGCAGUUUGACUGGGGCGGUCGCCUCCUAAAAGGUAACGGAGGCGCUCAAAGGUUCCCUCAGAAUGGUUGGAAAUCAUUCAUAGAGUGUAAAGGCAUAAGGGAGCUUGACUGCGAGACCUACAAGUCGAGCAGGGUCGAAAGACGGACUUAGUGAUCCGGUGGUUCCGCAUGGAAGGGCCAUCGCUCAACGGAUAAAAGCUACCCCGGGGAUAACAGGCUUAUCUCCCCCAAGAGUUCACAUCGACGGGGAGGUUUGGCACCUCGAUGUCGGCUCAUCGCAUCCUGGGGCUGUAGUCGGUCCCAAGGGUUGGGCUGUUCGCCCAUUAAAGCGGUACGCGAGCUGGGUUCAGAACGUCGUGAGACAGUUCGGUCCCUAUCCGUCGUGGGCGUAGGAAAUUUGAGAGGAGCUGUCCUUAGUACGAGAGGACCGGGAUGGACAUACCUCUG